GACCCACAGGACUAUGCGGACAUGACUGCAAUGCUCCAGAAGGUUGGAAAGAGUUCACCGGAAUAGCUCCGGGACUGCCGAGGGAGCUGCGAUUUACCCACCCAAAAUGCUUAUGGCAGGAAGGCGGGAAUAAUUUAUGUGGAUACUACGUUUGCGAGUUCAUCUACAAUGCGACCUCUCAGUGGGGCUAUUCUGAUGAACAAUAUGAAGCUAUCUAAAUAUCUAUCUGGACCAUGCAUGCAUCGCCAUGAAAGGGGUCGCGACGUCUGGACCAUGCAUGCAUCGCCAUGAAAGGGGUCGCGAGAGUGGCACCUGACACCAACCAACUAAAUGCAUGCAUGGCCACUAAUGCAUACGAGGAGGAGUGGGAGACGAAGAUGUGGUGUUCCCAUUUCUAGGAUCAACUAGUCUUGUAAACAAAGCAUGCAGGGAAAAGAGAUGGUAAUAGAGAGGGGCCACCCAAGAUAUGAUAGCUUGGACCACGGGGUUGGAAAGAUGGUGACAGGUCCGUCGUUCCUU
Long non-coding RNA from Triticum dicoccoides, 519 nucleotides. RefSeq lists it as uncharacterized. NCBI's taxonomy places the organism in Eukaryota, Viridiplantae, Streptophyta, Magnoliopsida, Poales, Poaceae. The transcript is spliced from 4 exons. The record is from RefSeq and is a predicted model, not a curated record.